GCCCGGGCCACUGCGGACUCUGAGCGCCUUUGCGCCGGGACCUGCGGUGCCCAGAGGCCGCCCCGCGUGCCCGGCCCGAGGGCGGGCACCGGUAAGGGAGGGCCCAGGUCAGGGCUUCCCGCCAGCGUUCGUCCCGGCCCCGCAGCUUCCUGCGCCGGAGCGGCCCAGAGGCAGAGGCCUGAGCUGGAGCACACGCCAGGAGGGCUAAGGUUCCCGGGAGAGGGGUCGAGAAGGCAGCAGGGUCCUCCCGCCGCUGAGGUUUGGCCUCGGGAGCAGCAGAUGGUCGGCGGGAGCUCAACCCGAAACGCAGAAGGGGGCCUGCACUGGAUGAAGCAAUGAAGGCAAGGUCACGGCUGCUAAAGCACAGAGGGGUUAAAAAGUGUGAAACCAGA
Molecule: long non-coding RNA, 392 nt
Filed under: Homo sapiens (human)
Lineage: Eukaryota; Metazoa; Chordata; Mammalia; Primates; Hominidae
Description: HSALNT0156810
Source: RNAcentral